ACGCACGCUGGCGGCGUGCUUCACCCCUGCCAGUCGCACGGAAAGGCCCUGCUUUUGUGGGGUGCUCGAGUGGCGAACGGGUGAGUAACACGUGAGUAACCUGCCCUUGACUUUGGGAUAACUUCAGGAAACUGGGGCUAAUACCGGAUAGGAGCUCCUGCUGCAUGGUGGGGGUUGGAAAGUUUCGGCGGUUGGGGAUGGACUCGCGGCUUAUCAGCUUGUUGGUGGGGUAGUGGCUUACCAAGGCUUUGACGGGUAGCCGGCCUGAGAGGGUGACCGGCCACAUUGGGACUGAGAUACGGCCCAGACUCCUACGGGAGGCAGCAGUGGGGAAUAUUGCACAAUGGGCGGAAGCCUGAUGCAGCAACGCCGCGUGCGGGAUGACGGCCUUCGGGUUGUAAACCGCUUUCGCCUGUGACGAAGCGUGAGUGACGGUAAUGGGGAAAGAAGCACCGGCUAACUACGU
RNAcentral lists this ribosomal RNA (466 nucleotides) under uncultured bacterium. RNAcentral describes it as "partial 16S ribosomal RNA". It matches the Rfam family "Bacterial small subunit ribosomal RNA", at positions 29 to 506 of the family's 1533-position model. The record is from RNAcentral.